GUUCGUAGCGUUGUAUUAUACACCACCAAUAGAAAUUAACUCCUGGCUGUUAUUUUAUUAGCCAUAUAAAUAAUACAUUACCAGCCUUUCUGCCAGUCAUUCAUAUUAUUGUAUCAGUUUUAAUGUUUGAUAUUUGUAUUCAUUAUUUAAAGAUUUCUCUGCAAACAGUGUUUUUGGAGAAAUAUUCCUGGAGGAGUGUUAAACACUUACAUAAACUCUGGGCGGAGAUACGGGUUUUAUUUAGUAGUUAAUCUUUAAUUAUGGAGUUUAUUCACUAAACAAAGACUUGUAAAUCUUAUGCAGCUAUCACCAAAAUGGAUACAAUGUCCAGAUUCCUUGUCUGCAGUCCCCAGUUCAGUGAAUAAAGCCCCCUGUUUUAGGUACACUGCAUAUAAGGCGCUUUCAUUAUCCCUCAGAGCCACUAAAACCACACACAUCUGUCACCAAGAGAGGAUCGUGCAGUGUCCCCCAAUAAAUGCAGCACAAGCGAAAGGGUUACUCCAAACACCACAACCACUUCAGUGAUGACAUGACAC
Pelobates cultripes (western spadefoot toad) is the source of this 536-nucleotide non-coding RNA. NCBI's taxonomy places the organism in Eukaryota, Metazoa, Chordata, Amphibia, Anura, Pelobatidae. The record is from the annotation of a GenBank genome assembly.